Molecule: long non-coding RNA, 632 nt
Organism: Mytilus californianus (California mussel)
Lineage: Eukaryota; Metazoa; Mollusca; Bivalvia; Mytilida; Mytilidae
Exons: 3
Source: RefSeq, a predicted model, not a curated record
UAAAGGCGUUCCUUAAUCAUUAGGAAGAUUUGCGGUUAGAACGUUUGAAUUUCUUCCUCUGUUAAAUUGUUUAAUACCAUGUUCCAUUGUUGUUGAUACUUAGUUGAUGAUUAGUGCGUUUUGUUUAAUCAAGUACCUACUACAUUCCUUGUUUGGAAAAUCCAAAGUAGAUAUAGAAGUUUUUGUGGUACAGCUAAAAACAGCCAUGGAAAGUAUACCUAUCCAAACGACAGAUUGCUGCAUUAAUUAUGUUGAUCUUGAAAUAUGUGGCUUCAAACAAGCAAGAAUGUGUCCUCAUUUACAGAAAAAGGUUAAAAAUUAUGAGCAAUGUGUCGAACUUUCAGAAAUACCUGAGCAAAGAUUGAAGUUUCUUGCCAAAUAAGUGCAUUUAUGAAACAGUUGGGGGAAUGAUUGAAACAACAGGACAGCUAAAUGCAGAUCAAAACUCGAUACUUGGAUACUUGCGAAGUACUUCGAUACUUGAAAACUGACGUGUGUACCAAUGGCAAUGUGGAAGGAUAAACUUAUAUUUAAAAUUUCAACAUACAUUUUGUAAUUUAUUUGAAUGAAUAAGUCUAACGUUUAAAUUUGUCAGUACUAAUAAACUUGUCCCUUUUUGGAUAUACCUUUCA